This 369-nucleotide unclassified non-coding RNA is filed under the name Bombus terrestris (buff-tailed bumblebee). Its description in RNAcentral is "misc RNA ENSBTSG00005024856.1". Lineage: Eukaryota; Metazoa; Arthropoda; Insecta; Hymenoptera; Apidae. The record is from RNAcentral.
CCAGCACCACCGCCUAGGCCACCAUAACCUCCAGCUCCACCACCGGCGCCUGCGCCACCAUAUCCUCCAGCUCCACCACCGGCGCCUGCACCACCAAAUCCGCCAGCUCCACUACCGGCGCCACCGUGUCCGCCAGCACCAGUACCACCACCUAGGCCACCAUAACCUCCAGCUCCACCACCGGCACCUGCACCGCCAUAUCCUCCAGCUCCACCACCGGCGCCUGCACCACCAAAUCCGCCAGCUCCACUACCGCGUCCGCCAGCACCACCUCCGGCACCUGAACUACCGUAACCACCACCUGACUCCCCGCCACCCCUGUCCGAACAGGCAACACUGACACACGAAAGUACAAAACGAAUAGAGUAA